Molecule: ribosomal RNA, 447 nt
Filed under: uncultured bacterium
Lineage: Bacteria
Description: partial 16S ribosomal RNA
Rfam family: Bacterial small subunit ribosomal RNA
Source: RNAcentral
AACGAACGCUGGCGGCAGGCCUAACACAUGCAAGUCGAACGCCCCGCAAGGGGAGUGGCGCACGGGUGAGUAACGCGUGGGAAUAUGCCCUUCGGUUCGGAAUAACACAGGGAAACUUGUGCUAAUACCGGAUACGAUCUACGGAUGAAAGAUUUAUCGCCGAGGGAGUAGCCCGCGUAGGAUUAGCUAGUUGGUGAGGUAAUGGCUCACCAAGGCGACGAUCCUUAGCUGGUCUGAGAGGAUGAUCAGCCACACUGGGACUGAGACACGGCCCAGACUCCUACGGGAGGCAGCAGUGGGGAAUAUUGGACAAUGGGCGAAAGCCUGAUCCAGCCAUGCCGCGUGAGUGAUGAAGGCCUUAGGGUUGUAAAGCUCUUUCGCCAGGGAAGAUAAUGACGGUACCUAGAAGAGAAGCCUCGGCUAACUCCGUGCCAGCAGCCGCGGUAA